Molecule: ribosomal RNA, 218 nt
Filed under: uncultured bacterium
Lineage: Bacteria
Description: partial 16S ribosomal RNA
Rfam family: Bacterial small subunit ribosomal RNA
Source: RNAcentral
UGAGAUGUUGGGUUAAGUCCCGCAACGAGCGCAACCCUUGUCCUUAGUUGCCAGCACGUAAUGGUGGGAACUCUAAGGAGACCGCCGGUGACAAACCGGAGGAAGGUGGGGAUGACGUCAAGUCAUCAUGGCCCUUACGGCCAGGGCUACACACGUACUACAAUGGUAGGGACAGAGGGCUGCAAGCCGGCGACGGUAAGCCAAUCCCAGAAACCCUA